CAGCCGCCACGGGAAUACGGAGGGGGCUAGCGUUGUUCGGAAUUACUGGGCGUAAAGCGCACGUAGGCGGCUUGGUAAGUUAGAGGUGAAAGCCCGGAGCUCAACUCCGGAAUUGCCUUUAAGACUGCCGAGCUAGCAGGUGAGAGAGGUAAGUGGAAUUCCGAGUGUAGAGGUGAAAUUCGUAGAUAUAGGAAGGAACACCAGUGGCGAAGGCGACCACCUGGGCUCAUACUGACACUGAGGUGCGAAAGCGUGGGGAGCAAACAGGAUUAGAUACCCCUGUAGUCCCUGUCUCUUAUAA
Molecule: ribosomal RNA, 301 nt
Filed under: uncultured bacterium
Lineage: Bacteria
Description: partial 16S ribosomal RNA
Rfam family: Bacterial small subunit ribosomal RNA
Source: RNAcentral